Molecule: ribosomal RNA, 240 nt
Filed under: uncultured bacterium
Lineage: Bacteria
Description: partial 16S ribosomal RNA
Rfam family: Bacterial small subunit ribosomal RNA
Source: RNAcentral
AGCGGCGGACGGGUGAGUAACGCGUGGGUAACCUGCCUCAUACAGGGGAGUAACAGUUGGAAACGGCUGCUAAUACCGCAUAAGCGCACAGUACCGCAUGGUACGGUGUGAAAAACUCCGGUGGUAUGAGAUGGACCCGCGUCUGAUUAGGUAGUUGGUGGGGUAACGGCCUACCAAGCCGACGAUCAGUAGCCGACCUGAGAGGGUGACCGGCCACAUUGGGACUGAGACACGGCCCAA